Molecule: long non-coding RNA, 733 nt
Filed under: Junco hyemalis (dark-eyed junco)
Lineage: Eukaryota; Metazoa; Chordata; Aves; Passeriformes; Passerellidae
Description: lncRNA (ENSJHYG00000008700.1)
Source: RNAcentral
CUCCAGCCCGCCUCGAUCGCUGAGCAACACCUUCACCCUUGUCCCUCCCCCACCACACGCCGGUUUUUUCUUUUUUUUUUUUUUUUCCUUUUCCUCCUCUUUUUUUUUUUUUUUUUCCUUUUUUUUUUUUUUUUUUUUUUUUUUUUUUUUUCUCCUCCACUCUCCCGCAGCGAGUUAAAUAUUUCUUUUGUUAAUUGACGCCCAAAGUGUUCCCAAUCCCUUCCCCGCGCCGCCCGGGCCGACCGAGGACGUGUGCACGCCCAGAUCCGCUCGGUGAAGCAGCACAGAUCCGCGGGGCCGAGCGGGAUUUAAAUGUCACUCACAGCAUCCCCAGAUCAGCUUUCUGCUCGUCUCCGCUUUCUUCCGAGGCUUUAAUUGGAUCACACGCUGCAUUUGAAGAGCCUGGGUGUUUUACCCGCUAAGGAAAUUUGCUCCAUCUCCAGCAGCAACCACUGCUCCUUUUGAUGUUGUGGUACGCCGUGCGCAUGCGCUUCACAUUAGAAUUACUGCACUGGCCAGAAUAAGUUGGAUCUCUUCUUCUCUUCACUGAAACCCUAAAUCAUAUCAAAAGCUAAAGGGAUGCUGAGAGUCCGGAAAAAGGGUUACUUUGGGAUUUGGUCAUUCCCUUUAAUAAUAGCUGCGGUGUGUGCACAGAGGUAAGUGAUUAAGGUAUCUCUUUUCCUUUACUUUGAAUUGCAGUGCAUGCUGCUGCUGAGAGAAAUGUACAGCUGGG